CUAAUACAUGCAAGUCGAACGCUUCUUUUCCACCGGAGCUUGCUCCACCGGAAAAAGAGGAGUGGCGAACGGGUGAGUAACACGUGGGUAACCUGCCCAUCAGAAAGGGGAUAACACUUGGAAACAGGUGCUAAUACCGUAUAACAAUCGAAACCGCAUGGUUUUGAUUUGAAAGGCGCUUUCGGGUGUCGCUGAUGGAUGGACCCGCGGUGCAUUAGCUAGUUGGUGAGGUAACGGCUCACCAAGGCCACGAUGCAUAGCCGACCUGAGAGGGUGAUCGGCCACAUUGGGACUGAGACACGGCCCAAACUCCUACGGGAGGCAGCAGUAGGGAAUCUUCGGCAAUGGACGAAAGUCUGACCGAGCAACGCCGCGUGAGUGAAGAAGGUUUUCGGAUCGUAAAACUCUGUUGUUAGAGAAGAACAAGGAUGAGAGUAACUGUUCAUCCCUUGACGGUAUCUAACCAGAAAGCCACGGCUAACUACGUGCCAGCAGCCGCGGUAAUACGUAGGUGGCAAGCGUUGUCCGGAUUUAUUGGGCGUAAAGCGAGCGCAGGCGGUUUCUUAAGUCUGAUGUGAAAGCCCCCGGCUCAACCGGGGAGGGUCAUUGGAACUGGGAGACUUGAGUGCAGAAGAGGAGAGUGGAAUUCCAUGUGUAGCGGUGAAUGCGUAGAUAUAUGGAGGACACCAGUGGCGAAGGCGGCUCUC
RNAcentral lists this ribosomal RNA (707 nucleotides) under uncultured Bacilli bacterium. RNAcentral describes it as "bacterial SSU rRNA". It matches the Rfam family "Bacterial small subunit ribosomal RNA", at positions 48 to 729 of the family's 1533-position model. Lineage: Bacteria; Bacillati; Bacillota; Bacilli. The record is from RNAcentral.